UGGGGAAUAUUGCACAAUGGGCGAAAGCCUGAUGCAGCAACGCCGCGUGAGGGAUGACGGCCUUCGGGUUGUAAACCUCUUUUAGUAGGGAAGAAGCGAAAGUGACGGUACCUGCAGAAAAAGCACCGGCUAACUACGUGCCAGCAGCCGCGGUAAUACGUAGGGUGCAAGCGUUGUCCGGAAUUAUUGGGCGUAAAGAGCUCGUAGGCGGUUUGUCGCGUCUGCUGUGAAAUCCCGAGGCUCAACCUCGGGUCUGCAGUGGGUACGGGCAGACUAGAGUGUGGUAGGGGAGAUUGGAAUUCCUGGUGUAGCGGUGGAAUGCGCAGAUAUCAGGAGGAACCCCGAUGGCGAAGGCAGAUCUCUGGGCCAUUACUGACGCUGAGGAGCGAAAGCAUGGGGAGCGAACA
Molecule: ribosomal RNA, 407 nt
Filed under: uncultured bacterium
Lineage: Bacteria
Description: partial 16S ribosomal RNA
Rfam family: Bacterial small subunit ribosomal RNA
Source: RNAcentral